This 321-nucleotide long non-coding RNA is filed under the name Phoenix dactylifera (date palm). Its description in RNAcentral is "long non-coding RNA (PDAC_LNC021867)". The record is from RNAcentral. Lineage: Eukaryota; Viridiplantae; Streptophyta; Magnoliopsida; Arecales; Arecaceae.
CGACAUGAAGAGAGAGGGGGCCGGCGCCCCCUCUUGGAAAGUUGUCAAGGCUCCUAACUUGUAGGAGCCCUUCAUCCUUAUUAAAGGAGGACUAGGGCCGGCGCCCUAGAUGGACCUUUCUCCUCUUCAUCACGUGGCCACCCCCUCUCCAUCUCUCCUUGGUUCAGCCGCCAUCAGCAAGGGGAAAAGAAGAGGAGGCGUCUCCCUCCUCUUGGUCUUCUUCCUUGGCUUCAGCGCGUGUGAAGAGAAGAAAGCUGCAAAGGGAUUUGAUCUUCUUCCUCUUCUUCAUCCUUCUUCUUCCUCCUCUCAAGUGCAAUCAAG